This 293-nucleotide unclassified non-coding RNA is filed under the name Hevea brasiliensis (rubber tree). Lineage: Eukaryota; Viridiplantae; Streptophyta; Magnoliopsida; Malpighiales; Euphorbiaceae. The record is from RNAcentral.
AGAGAAACCAAACAGGAAGAGAGUCGGAGAGAGAUGGUUUUAAACAGCAGUCUGGUUGUGACCGUUGCCAAUGUAUCAGCUAAUCUAUGCCAAUACAUAGCAUGCAAUCCAGAGCGGCUAAGCAGCGACCAAGUCUUGAAUUUGCUCUUCUGCUUUCCUCUCCACCAUUUGGGUCGUCUCUGGAACUAUCUCUGGAACUAUCUCUGCUACAAUCCCCCCACCCUGCCAAUCUGUCCGAUUUCGAUUUCAACGACGACGACGAUGAUUCCCACUCCGAUUGAGUUCUUGCACCA